CAGGAGACAUGCACGACCGAACACGUUGAAUGUCUCUUGGUAACACGUCAGAAGAUCUGUCUGGGUUUUCAUCAAAGUUGGACCAGGCUAUUUCACUGCAUCUCUGGAGAAGAGAGCUCCAGGAUCAUGCCAGUCUGAAUCUACCCAUAUCUGAACUAAUUUCUAGUGCUCCUACACGGCGGUGUAUGUGGUGUUCUGCAGAGGAUUAACACAAGAACAUAUCACCACACAACAGUAGAAGCGCUCCGUUCCGUACACACAAAUGCACCUUGUGAGCCAGAUAGGUGUGUGUUUAAAAGGAAAUGGGUUGCUCUAAACAGUGAUCACUUGAAUAUAUCAUGUGUACAGUGGAAGUCUGUGAGGCCCUCAUACUGUGGCCAUUACGCUGCAUAUGUUAGUAUUCAGAGGACUUCCUAAACAUUUCCCAUAAUUGACCUUAAAGGCAGUGUUACUAUAACCUGACAGGAACCAUUCUGCAUCUAGUGUGGCACUAUACUGGAUGUCAAUUGCAGUGGGAAGUGUCAAAUUCACACAUAUGGUACCUUACAUGGUGGAGGUUUAUGUUUACUCAAUCAGUGGUUUUCUUGGUUUGCUCUUAGAUGAACAAGGAUAAACUAAACUGUGAUUGCGCCUCUGACAGCAUGUUGUGGAUGGAAUUCGCUAAUUUAACUUGCGUCCGCUGAUAGAGUGGUUUAUUUGUGUGCGCUGUCUGCAUUGAAUCAGAGAACAUUUAGCACAGCAUCAGGUUAACGGUGCAAACCUACCCAAACAAUUGGUGGUGAACCCAAUUUGCAUGACGCAUUUCCCCAUUUUACAGGCUGGUUCUGAUUGCUGGGUAGUGGAGGAUGCAGGAGAAUACAGAGAACCGGUUCCACAUUUAAAAAAAAAAAGCUGUAAAUUAUGAUGUUCAGUUCCACUAACAAUUCUCAACACCGCUAUCUACUGCAUGAAACAGAAAGUGUGAUCAGUGUAGAACAAAUGACUUAUUUUUAGUGAUUUUAAAACAAAAAGUGCCAUAAGAGACAGUCCCAUUUUUUGCAAAUUACUGUUGAGUCGAUUCUUUUUAGUUAAUCAAAGAUGUGCAGCAUAACCAGUGUAGUCCAUUUUGUGAAUUAAUGAGUUGAUUCUUUUUAGUGUAUCAAAUACAUGCAAACUAAUUGAGACUUAAAUCUGUUUAGUUACUGGUUGGUUGUUAUUUUACCAGUGUUGAUUAGAGAUGCAACCUUAUAUCAGUAGUAUUUUGUACAAAUAAAUUACGGAUAACACAUUUUUGUACAAUGACUUGGAUGUUAGCACCACCUGGUUCUCUCAAAAACACAGUAGGAUUUUUCCAUUGGCCUUUGGAUUAUUGCACGAAACAAGCUCUGUGACCAAAGGUUUAUGAUUAUUACACGUUUUUUGCUCAUCAUGAUAAUCUUCACAAAUGGACACAACUUGAAUGAAUUUUGAAGCCUGACUGCAAGAAGACAAAAAGCUAAUAAAGCUUUUAUUUUUAUUUUUAUAGGCUAUAAACGAACUACACUGUGGUCACAAGACUUCAAUGUCAGCACAAUUAAGCUUUCAGUCUUUGUUUCAAAAACAUUUUCCCUCAAAGUUUGAGUUAGAAUUGUUUGUAAGAAUGUAAUUAAAACAUAAUGCAGCUGUAAAAGUGGACUUAUGAGUAGAUGAGUUUACAUUUUUGACAUGAUGACAUUUAAUGCAGACAACCUCUAGUCCCACUUUGGCACUUUUUCAGGAC
Molecule: long non-coding RNA, 1738 nt
Filed under: Sinocyclocheilus grahami
Lineage: Eukaryota; Metazoa; Chordata; Actinopteri; Cypriniformes; Cyprinidae
Description: lncRNA (ENSSGRG00000033715.1)
Source: RNAcentral